CUGCAGCUCAAGUGGUGGCCGCUAUUAUUGGGCCUAAAACGUCCGUAGCCGGUUUAGUAAAUGCCUGGGUAAAUCGUGUAGCUUAACUAUACGACUUCCGGGUAGACUGCUAGACUUGGGACCGGGAGAGGCUAGAGGUACUCCUGGGGUAGAGGUGAAAUUCUGUAAUCCUAGGGGGACCACCAGUGGCGAAGGCGUCUAGCUAGAACGGGUCUGACGGUGAGGGACGAAACCCUGGGGCGCGAACCGGAUUAGAUACCCGAGUAGUCC
This 270-nucleotide ribosomal RNA is filed under the name uncultured archaeon. RNAcentral's name for it is "partial 16S ribosomal RNA". It matches the Rfam family "Archaeal small subunit ribosomal RNA", at positions 477 to 747 of the family's 1478-position model. The record is from RNAcentral.